AGGGCGCAUGAAGGAUGCCUUGGCUCUUAGAGGCGAUGAAGGACGUGGUAAGCUGCGAUAAGCUGCGGGGAUCAGCCAACAUGAAUUGAUCCGCAGAUUUCCGAAUGGAAUAAUCCACCUGCUUGCAGGUAUCUCGUCGCAGUUCGUCUGCUUGAGAGGCUAACCCGGGGAACUGAAACAUCUAAGUACCCGGAGGAAAAGAAAACAAUUGUGAUUCCGUAAGUAGUGGCGAGCGAACGCGGAUUAGCCCAAACCAGUAGUAGCUUAGGUUAUGCUGGGGUUGUAGGGUUGGCGAUAUGUCAUUGAUGUAUGAACUAAAAUUUUCUGGAAAGAAAAGCCAAAGAGGGUGAUAGUCCCGUAUAGGUAAAGAAGUCAGGCUAGUCAAUACCUGAGUAUGUCGAGGCUGGAGAAACUUCGAUUGAAUCUGCCGGCACCAUCCGGUAAGGCUAAAUACUCCUAAGAGACCGAUAGUGAACUAGUACCGUGAGGGAAAGGUGAAAAGUACUCUGAAAAAGAGGGUGAAAUAGAACUGAAAUCAUGCGCUUGCAAGCGGUCGGAGUCCUUUUGUGGGAUGACGGCGUGCCUUUUGCAUAAUGAGCCUACGAGUUAACUUUUCUGGCAAGGUUAAAUCUUUUAAGGGAUGGAGCCGAAGCGAAAGCGAGCCUUAACUGGGCGUUUAGUCAGAGGAGUUAGACGCGAAACCUGAUGAUCUACCCAUGGCCAGGUUGAAGCAGCGCUAAUCCGCUGUGGAGGACCGAACUAGUGAAUGUUGCAACAUUCUUGGAUGAGCUGUGGGUAGGGGUGAAAGGCUAAUCAAAUUGGGAGAUAGCUCGUACUCUCCGAAAUGCUUUUAGGAGCAGCCUCAGUUGUAUAUUCAAGUAGGUAGAGCUACCGAUAGAAUGUUGAGGGCCCUCAAAGCCUAUCACAUUCUGACGAACUCCGAAUGAUUUGAAUUUUGACUGGGAGUGAGGGCUGGGGUGCUAAGGUCACAGUCCGAGAGGGAAACAACCCAGACCAUCAGCUAAGGCCCCAAAGUGUAUACUAAGUUGAACUAAGAAGAUCUGAUUGCAUAAACAGCCAGGAUGUAGGCUUGGAAGCAGCCAUUCAUUUAAAGAGUGCGUAACAGCUCACUGGUCAAGCGAUUGGGUGUCUAUAAUAAUCGGGCAUUAAGUAUAUCGCCGAAGCUAUGGGCACAAUAAUGUGCGGUAGGAGAGCAUUCUGGGUGAGCAGAAGCAUAAAAGACAAUUUUGUGUGGAUCGCCCAGAAAAGCAGAUGUAGGCAUAAGUAACGAUAAUGGUAGUGAAAAACUACCACACCGAAAAUCCAAGGUUUUCAUUGGCUAUGGUAGUCAGCCGUGAGUUAGUCGGGCCCUAAGUUGAAGCCGAAAGGCGUAGACGAUGGAAAAUCGGUUAAUAUUCCGAUACUUUUUGAAAAUAGAAAUGGGGGGACAGAGAAGUGAAAGGUUUGCCUUGUAACCAAUUGCAAGGUUAAAGCGUGUAGAUAUAGGGCUGUAGGAAAAUCCGCAGCUUUGUCGAACGUGAUAGUACUGAAUGUUGCUUGCAGCAUUUAGAUAAUGACCCUAAUCAGGCUCUCAAGAAAAGCCUCUAAUCGUUAAGUUUCAAAAAUCCGUACCGUAAACCGACACAGGUGGGUGAGGAGAGAAUCCUAAGGUGGACGAGUGAUUCGUGGCUAAGGAACUCGGCAAAUUGACUCUGUAACUUCGGGAGAAAGAGUGCCUAGCUAAACUUAGUUUAGAAGGUCGCAGUGAAGAGGCCCAGGCGACUGUUUACCAAAAACACAGGGCUUUGCUAAGUCGAAAGACAAUGUAUAAGGCCUGAUACCUGCCCGGUGCUGGAAGGUUAAAAGGAGAGGUUAGGCGCAAGCCGAAGCUUUGAAUUGAAGCCCCAGUAAACGGCGGCCGUAACCUUGACGGUCCUAAGGUAGCGAAAUUCCUUGUCGGGUAAGUUCCGACCUGCACGAAUGGUUUAACGAUCUGGGCACUGUCUCGGCCACGAGCUCGGUGAAAUUGUAGUAGCGGUGAAGAUGCCGCUUACCCGCAGCGGGACGGAAAGACCCCAUGAACCUUUACUAUAACUUCAGUAUUGAAAAUGUGUAUGUGUUGUGCAGUAUAGGUGGGAGGCUGUGAAGCUUUGGCGCCAGCUAGAGCAGAGCCGUCAGUGAGAUACCACCCUGCAUUUAUAUGUUUUCUAACCCUAGAAAGGGGACAGUGCUAGGCGGGUAGUUUGACUGGGGUGGUCGCCUCCAAAAAAGUAACGGAGGCUUUCAAAGGUACCCUCAACACGGAUGGUCAUCGUGUGUAGAGCGCAAUAGCAUAAGGGUGCUUGACUGUGAGACAGACAAGUCGAGCAGGGUCGAAAGACGGAUAUAGUGAUCCGGUGGUUCUGAAUGGAAAGGCCAUCGCUCAAAGGAUAAAAGGUACUCUGGGGAUAACAGAGAUCGGAAGAGCGUCGUGGAGGGAAAGAGUGUAGG
Molecule: ribosomal RNA, 2490 nt
Filed under: freshwater metagenome
Description: bacterial LSU rRNA
Rfam family: Bacterial large subunit ribosomal RNA
Source: RNAcentral